AUUUAUAUAGUAUAAGUAUUAUAACUAGCUUCCAAUUAGUAGAUCUAUAAGUAGUAUAAAUA
This 62-nucleotide transfer RNA is filed under the name Lagria rufipennis. Its description in RNAcentral is "tRNA-Gly". The record is from RNAcentral. Lineage: Eukaryota; Metazoa; Arthropoda; Insecta; Coleoptera; Tenebrionidae.